RNAcentral lists this ribosomal RNA (472 nucleotides) under uncultured bacterium. RNAcentral describes it as "partial 16S ribosomal RNA". It matches the Rfam family "Bacterial small subunit ribosomal RNA", at positions 28 to 507 of the family's 1533-position model. The record is from RNAcentral.
GACGAACGCUGGCGGCGUGCUUAACACAUGCAAGUCGAACGCUGAAGCUUGGUGCUUGCACUGGGUGGAUGAGUGGCGAACGGGUGAGUAAUACGUGAGUAACCUGCCCUUGACUCUGGGAUAAGCCUGGGAAACUGGGUCUAAUACUGGAUAUGACAUGCCACUGCAUGGUGGUGUGUGGAAAGGGUUUUACUGGUUUUGGAUGGGCUCACGGCCUAUCAGCUUGUUGGUGGGGUAAUGGCCUACCAAGGCGACGACGGGUAGCCGGCCUGAGAGGGUGACCGGCCACACUGGGACUGAGACACGGCCCAGACUCCUACGGGAGGCAGCAGUGGGGAAUAUUGCACAAUGGGCGGAAGCCUGAUGCAGCGACGCCGCGUGAGGGAUGACGGCCUUCGGGUUGUAAACCUCUUUCAGCACGGAAGAAGCGAGAGUGACGGUACGUGCAGAAGAAGCGCCGGCUAACUACGUG